GCCGCGGUACCCUAACCGUGCAAAGGUAGCGUAAUCAUUUGUCUACUAAUUAUAGACCUGUAUGAAAGGCAAAAUGAGGGUCUAACUGUCUCUUAUAAUAAAUCAAUUAAACUGAUCUCCUAGUAAAAAAGCUAGAAUUACAACAUAAGACCAGAAGACCCUGUGAAGCUUGAACUAAACUAUUAAACUUUCGGUUGGGGCGACCUUGGAAAAAAAAAGAACUUCCAAAUACAAUGAAAUUAGGCCAACAAGCCAAUAAAUGACCCAGCAUGCUGAUAAUUGAACCAAGUUACUCCAGGGAUAACAGCGCAAUCUUCUUCAAGAGCCCAUAUCAAAAAGAAGGUUUACGACCUCGAUGUUGGAUCAGGACAUCCUAAUGGUGCAGCCGCUAUUAAGGGUUCGUUUGUUCAACGAUUAA
This 418-nucleotide ribosomal RNA is filed under the name Zamenis longissimus (aesculapean snake). Its description in RNAcentral is "partial 16S ribosomal RNA". It matches the Rfam family "Bacterial large subunit ribosomal RNA", at positions 1930 to 2591 of the family's 2925-position model. The record is from RNAcentral. Lineage: Eukaryota; Metazoa; Chordata; Lepidosauria; Squamata; Colubridae.